Molecule: ribosomal RNA, 486 nt
Filed under: uncultured bacterium
Lineage: Bacteria
Description: bacterial SSU rRNA
Rfam family: Bacterial small subunit ribosomal RNA
Source: RNAcentral
UCAGUCGACUCCUACGGGGAGGCAGCAGUGGGGGAAUAUUGCACAAUGGGCGCAAGCCUGAUGCAGCCAUGCCGCGUGUGUGAAGAAGCCGUUCGGGUUGUAAAGCACUUUCAGUCGUGAGGAAGGUAGUGUAGUUAAUAGCUGCAUUAUUUGUACGUUAGCGACAGAAGAAGCACCGGCUAACUCCGUGCCAGCAGCCGCGGUAAUACGGGAGGGUGCGAGCGUUAAUCGGAAUUACUGGGCGUAAAGCGCAUGCAGGUGGUUUGUUAAGUCAGAUGUGAAAGGACCCGGGGCGUCAACCUACGGAAUAAGCAUUUAGUAAACUAGGCAGACUAGAGUACUGUAGAGGGGGGUAGGAAUUUCAGGUGUAGCGGUGAAAUGCGUAGAGAUCUGAAGGAAUACCAGUGGCGAAGGCGGCCCCCUGGACAAAGACUGACGCUCAGAUGCGAAAGCGUGGGGAGCAAACAGGAUUAGAUACCCUGGUAG